This 492-nucleotide ribosomal RNA is filed under the name uncultured bacterium. RNAcentral describes it as "partial 16S ribosomal RNA". It matches the Rfam family "Bacterial small subunit ribosomal RNA", at positions 29 to 507 of the family's 1533-position model. The record is from RNAcentral.
AGUGAACGCUGGCGGUAGGCCUAACACAUGCAAGUCGAACGGCAGCACAGUAAGAGCUUGCUCUUACGGGUGGCGAGUGGCGGACGGGUGGGGAAUACAUCGGAAUCUACUUUUUCGUGGGGGAUAACGUAGGGAAACUUACGCUAAUACCGCAUACGACCUACGGGUGAAAGCAGGGGAUCUUCGGACCUUGCGCGAUUGAAUGAGCCGAUGUCGGAUUAGCUAGUUGGUGGGGUAAGGGCCCACCAAGGCGACGAUCCGUAGCUGGUCUGAGAGGAUGAUCAGCCACACUGGAACUGAGACACGGUCCAGACUCCUACGGGAGGCAGCAGUGGGGAAUAUUGGACAAUGGGCGCAAGCCUGAUCCAGCCAUACCGCGUGGGUGAAGAAGGCCUUCGGGUUGUAAAGCCCUUUUGUUGGGAAAGAAAAGCAGCAGGUUAAUACCCCGCUGUUCUGACGGUACCCAAAGAAUAAGCACCGGCUAACUUCGUG